Anas platyrhynchos (mallard) is the source of this 2477-nucleotide long non-coding RNA. RefSeq lists it as uncharacterized. Lineage: Eukaryota; Metazoa; Chordata; Aves; Anseriformes; Anatidae. The record is from RefSeq and is a predicted model, not a curated record.
CCCCUCCCUACACAGCCGAGGUAAACAAGGUGCAUCUGUGGGCCUGGCAGGGCUCUUGCAGCCUGUGGGUGCACCACACCAAGGUUGUGGCUGGGCAGCAGAGGCACAGUGGCAGCGCUGCCCAGCCUGGUCCCAUCCUGUCCCAGGCCUCCCCCCGGCCUCCCUGCCCAUGCUCUGGCUCCUCACGAGUUAUGAUAACAUAGGCAGAUAUUCCCCCUGCCACCCAGCCAGUCCUGCGAAGUUGCACUUGUGGCCUUAAUCCCACUUGGAUGUGUGCCCCGCUGCCUCCACUCUCCGUCACUUGGGUACUUUAGUAUUCUUGAACAAGUGAACAAUCUUUGUUUCUGUACCUUAUUAGGCCAAAGACCAUAGCAGCUAGCGAUGGCAUCAGCAGGCCCUGCAGGCAGGAUUCUCUGCAGACACAGCCAACCUCCAACAAACCCCUUUUUAUCCUCCUGUUUCUAGGAAGAAUUAUGAUGGUGGUGCCCUGCUGUUGAUCAGUCAAAUCUGUGGUAGGCCUAGAGAUAAGUCCUGUAAGUGUGGUGUACUGUAAAACAGCGGCUCCCAUUCAUUAGUAGCUUGUGUGUAAUAAACCACCAAAAGGAGGGGGAUGGGGCGGGAGAGGGGAAGAGCAGCUGCAGUGUGCAGGAACAAACAACACAACUCAUUCUUGGGAGCCAAAACUUUCUAAUUUGCUGCUGGGCUGCUGGGAGCACUCAAAUUCUUUCUGAUAAUGCGCUCGUGCCCUCGGUGUCUCUCCCCGCAUUUCCCGAGUCCUGCUCUCCAGAGGUCCCCCAGUCUGGGACAGCUUCACUCCCAACCAAAACUAUAGACGCUGUUGCACAGGGAGGAGGAGGGGAACACAGCAACCUCCCAGUGUUUGCAGACUCCGGCGCAGCAAAGUGGUGGACCCGAGACAAGUCGUCCUGCCUGGGAAUGGCCGUUGCACGUAUCUGCUUGUGCAGUGGGUAAACAAAGCAUCACAUGGGCUGCAGAGCAAGCACGAGACGCGUCGCAAACCCAUACGUAUCUGAGGCAUGCAGGAGGGCUAGAAUGUUGUUAUCGAUAUAGAGACUGGUGGAAUAAUUAGGAACUUUUAUCUCCCAAAGUGCAGAAACAAACAAACAAAACAAAACAACAGAAAAACAAAAACAAACACCCUCAAAUCUAUAAUAGUUGAAAAAUUAUUUGGCUUAAUUUCUAGUUUUUCUUUUUCUUUUUUUUUUUUUUAUUUUAUUUUUUUUCCCCACAAGUUUCAGUAAAUAUUUACAUGAGCAUAAUAUUUCCCCAUUGCCCUGUAUUGGAAACCGCUCGUAGGCAUGUGCAUUUAAAUGGCAUUUACUAAGUAUAAUGUAACAUACUGCAUCUGUUGAGACCUCAGUGGUUACUAAUGCUUGCACAGCUGUGAAUAUGUUGGUGCUUUAAGAGCUUAGCCUUGGACCUGACUGCGUGUAGUCCAUUUUAGACCAGAAAUUAAAAUUACUGCGUGUUGCAGAACUGCCCUCAUAGAACAAGUCUUUGUGCUAAAGCUUGUACGUUCACAAGAAAGGAAAAUUAAUUUUACAGAGAUGCGGCUCUGAAGGACCAUUAUACACUUGCAGAUCACAGUGACUGCUUUUUUCACAGUGAUGUGCCAGGCUGUGAUGGUGCUUGGACUGCCUCCUAACAUUUCUAUAGACAAGAGAUACUUAAAUGGCACAUCCAGGCUUGGGCCAAACUGCAAGCACUCUUUAUGCAGACAUGAGGUUUUCCACUCUCUUGCAGGAGAUCUUGCUUGCUUUCCCUUCCCUGACCUCCUGGGGACUGGUGCCCUGUGCUGCCUGAGUCUUUACCUCUGCAAUGAGAGGUGCUUCUCCAGGCUGUUCUUGGUUGUGGUACCCAGUGGGUGGAGGGAAUAAAAUCCCUGAGGAUCCCAAGUGUGUAUCCACCAAAUGGUGUUAGCUAGACAUGGGCACAGAACUGUUCUCACAUCUCUUAAAAGUUUACAUAGUGAAGGAACUGAAACUGGCUACUUACCUGAACAUGGCUAGCGCAGGGUUCAGCCCUCCCUCCGCUUAUACAACAUUUUGGCAUUUUUUUAAAUAGUCUUUUGGCAUUUUGAGUUUCCUUCCCCCGACUUUGAUUGAUAGAUAGAUAGAUAGGUCAGUCAGUAGGUAGGUAGGUACGUAUAUAUUUUUAUAAUCAAAAUUGUGUCCUGACUUUUCAAAGAAAAUGAGGAAGGUAACAUGCCUGGUAAUUGCCUUGUGUCCUUACCACAUAAGCAUAUGGGUUUGUAGCAGAGAACCAGCCAUUGGAAAACUCCAGCACUGGUCUUUGUGUAUUUCAUGUGCAAUAAUGUUAUAUAUUGCACACUGAUUAUCAAGAUCAGAGCAUUCCUUUAACUGACAUGUUCUCUUGACAGCAGGCACCACACAACAGUUACCUGUCUGUGAUAAAGUUAUCAGCAAAAUGUUUGAAAUUAUAAAUAGGACCAUAAA